Molecule: ribosomal RNA, 253 nt
Filed under: uncultured bacterium
Lineage: Bacteria
Description: partial 16S ribosomal RNA
Rfam family: Bacterial small subunit ribosomal RNA
Source: RNAcentral
UACGAAGGGGGCUAGCGUUGUUCGGAAUUACUGGGCGUAAAGGGCGCGUAGGCGGCUCUGAUCGUCGGAUGUGAAAGGCCUGGGCUCAACCUGGGAAUGGCAUCCGAUACGGCGGGGCUGGAGUGUGGGAGAGGUUGGUGGAAUUCCCAGUGUAGAGGUGAAAUUCGUAGAUAUUGGGAAGAACACCGGUGGCGAAGGCGGCCAACUGGACCACAACUGACGCUGAGGCGCGAAAGCGUGGGGAGCGAACAGG